Molecule: ribosomal RNA, 549 nt
Filed under: uncultured bacterium
Lineage: Bacteria
Description: bacterial SSU rRNA
Rfam family: Bacterial small subunit ribosomal RNA
Source: RNAcentral
UGGGGAAUUUUGGACAAUGGGCGCAAGCCUGAUCCAGCCAUGCCGCGUGUCUGAAGAAGGCCUUCGGGUUGUAAAGGACUUUUGUCAGGGAAGAAAAGGCUGUUGCUAAUAUCAGCGGCUGAUGACGGUACCUGAAGAAUAAGCACCGGCUAACUACGUGCCAGCAGCCGCGGUAAUACGUAGGGUGCAAGCGUUAAUCGGAAUUACUGGGCGUAAAGCGAGCGCAGACGGUUACUUAAGCAGGAUGUGAAAUCCCCGGGCUCAACCUGGGAACUGCGUUCUGAACUGGGUAACUAGAGUGUGUCAGAGGGAGGUAGAAUUCCACGUGUAGCAGUGAAAUGCGUAGAGAUGUGGAGGAAUACCGAUGGCGAAGGCAGCCUCCUGGGAUAACACUGACGUUCAUGCUCGAAAGCGUGGGUAGCAAACAGGAUUAGAUACCCUGGUAGUCCACGCCCUAAACGAUGUCAAUUAGCUGUUGGGCAACUUGAUUGUUCAGUAGCGUAGCUAACGCGUGAAAUUGACCGCCUGGGGAGUACGGUCGCAAGAUUA